ACUUUUUACCUUGGAGAAAGUAGACAUUAUAUUUGAGUGGGUUUAAGAGCUGACAUCAUUUCUACAAAGGCUCCUUGUCCAGUUGCUGGGAUUGUGGUUCAUGUCCACAAAAGAAUAACAGGAGACAAUUUUAGGACUUCCUGGAGCUGCAGUUAAGGCCAACUGAAGCUUCAGGGUGGAUCAUCUUAUCCUUAUCUCGUGUGAUAUCAAUUCAUCAUAUCACCUAAUGAGGCUCAAAAUAACUUGUCCUGGGAAAAAUUGUACCAAAAAGAUCAUCUUUUGGAAAGUUAUUCUCUCCCUCUCCCCCAAUGAUUACAACACAGACUGUGCUUUAGAUCGACACAACACUGCCUUUCUGAAAGCGGGAUGCCCCAUCACCUCCAGGGGUGCCUUCCUCCCCAACAGGUUUGGCCUUUCAUUGGUAGCUCAAGCUCUCCAGAUCUCAAAUCUGGCUUGUUGUUUUUUUCCAGCCAUUCGUUGAAAAAAACACAUCCUUGGUAGAAAUGUCCAUUGUCAAUGGAGUGCCAAUAAAGUAAUUUUUCUGGCGGUUUCUA
Molecule: non-coding RNA, 554 nt
Organism: Pantherophis guttatus
Lineage: Eukaryota; Metazoa; Chordata; Lepidosauria; Squamata; Colubridae
Source: RefSeq, a predicted model, not a curated record